This 88-nucleotide ribosomal RNA is filed under the name Fusarium equiseti. Its description in RNAcentral is "partial 28S ribosomal RNA". Lineage: Eukaryota; Fungi; Ascomycota; Sordariomycetes; Hypocreales; Nectriaceae. The record is from RNAcentral.
CUGAACUACCAACAUAUCAGAAAACCCCGGAGAAAAAAAUCUUUAACGAGUUUACAACUCCCAAACCCUGUAAAAAUACCGUAUACUU